UACGUAGGGUGCGAGCGUUAAUCGGAAUUACUGGGCGUAAAGCGUGCGCAGGCGGUUUUGUAAGCCGGAUGUGAAAUCCCCGGGCUUAACCUGGGAAUGGCAUUCGGGACUGCAAGGCUGGAGUGCGGCAGAGGAGACUGGAAUUCCUGGUGUAGCAGUGAAAUGCGUAGAUAUCAGGAGGAACACCGAUGGCGAAGGCAGGUCUCUGGGCUGACACUGACGCUGAGAAGCGAAAGCGUGGGGAGCGAACAGG
RNAcentral lists this ribosomal RNA (253 nucleotides) under uncultured bacterium. RNAcentral's name for it is "partial 16S ribosomal RNA". It matches the Rfam family "Bacterial small subunit ribosomal RNA", at positions 524 to 776 of the family's 1533-position model. The record is from RNAcentral.